RNAcentral lists this transfer RNA (73 nucleotides) under Merluccius polli (Benguela hake). Its description in RNAcentral is "tRNA-Tyr". It matches the Rfam family "tRNA". Rfam says of the family: Transfer RNA (tRNA) molecules are approximately 80 nucleotides in length. Their secondary structure includes four short double-helical elements and three loops (D, anti-codon, and T loops). Lineage: Eukaryota; Metazoa; Chordata; Actinopteri; Gadiformes; Merlucciidae. The record is from RNAcentral.
CCUUUGAUAGCUCAGUUGGUAGAGCGGAGGACUGUAGAUCCUUAGGUCGCUGGUUCAAAUCCGGCUCGAAGGA